This 466-nucleotide ribosomal RNA is filed under the name uncultured bacterium. RNAcentral describes it as "partial 16S ribosomal RNA". It matches the Rfam family "Bacterial small subunit ribosomal RNA", at positions 29 to 506 of the family's 1533-position model. The record is from RNAcentral.
ACGAACGCUGGCGGCGUGCUUAACACAUGCAAGUCGAACGGAAAGGCCCUGCUUUUGUGGGGUGCUCGAGUGGCGAACGGGUGAGUAACACGUGAGUAACCUGCCCUUGACUUUGGGAUAACUUCAGGAAACUGGGGCUAAUACCGGAUAGGAGCUCCUGCUGCAUGGUGGGGGUUGGAAAGUUUCGGCGGUUGGGGAUGGACUCGCGGCUUAUCAGCUUGUUGGUGGGGUAGUGGCUUACCAAGGCUUUGACGGGUAGCCGGCCUGAGAGGGUGACCGGCCACAUUGGGACUGAGAUACGGCCCAGACUCCUACGGGAGGCAACAGUGGGGAAUAUUGCACAAGGGGCGGAAGCCUGAUGCAGCAACGCCGCGUGCGGGAUGACGGCCUUCGGGUUGUAAACCGCUUUCGCCUGUGACGAAGCGUGAGUGACGGUAAUGGGUAAAGAAGCACCGGCUAACUACGU